UUCUAGGAUCAAUUUCCCGGACAUGCAUUAAGCCUAGCGCUGCACUAAAUUGCAAUGUCAUGGGUGAUCCAUUAUUUUUAAGUUUAAGCCACAGUUUAGGCUUAAUGUACAGUGGCUAUAAAAAGUCAACACAACCCUGUUAGAAUGACAGGUUUUUGUGGUGUAAAAAAUGAAUUUUUUUUUCAUUACAGAACCUUUAUCACCUUUAUUGUGAAUUGCAACAUAUAAAAAGCAAGGGACAAACACCCAGUGUUUAAGAGAAAGAGGAAAAAAAAAAAAAACUUCCAAUACCCAGUGUGUAUAAGUGUGCACACCCUUUUAUAAUUGUGAAUGUGGCAGUGUUCAGAAUCAACCAAUCACAUUCAAACUCCUGUUAAAUACUAAUUAGUGUACACCUGCCAUCAGUUAAAAUGAUGGAUUACCCAUAAAUAAAAUACAGCUGUUACAAUAGGAUUUUUCUGACUGGAAAAGCCACGGGCCUCAAAGAGCUUACAAAGCAGCUAAGAUAAGAUCAAGAUGUGCCAAACUGUCUGACUCUUUACCCAAAACAAUUGAAUGCCAUGAUAAAAUCUAAGGGUGCUUCAACUAAGUGUUAGUGUAGGGGUGUGCAUACUUAUGCAACCAGGUUAAUGUACUUUUAUUUUUUAUUUUUCCCACCCUAAAAUGAUUCUCAUUGUUUUUCACUUUCAUAUAUAGGCUGCAAUUUCACAAUAAAGGUCGGUUUCAUUUAUUUAUUUAUUUAUUUAUUUUUGAACACCACAAAAACCUGCUAUUUUAACAGGGGUGUGUAGAUCAUACAAAUACCUGAUUAUAUGUGAGCUCUGAAUCCAUGACUGCUAUGACCUUGGUAUUGAUUUACAAAACAACACCUCUGCUGUUCAGACAAUCAGCAUAUAAACGGAUGAUGCAUUCAUCCUGGAUAUCACGUUUUCAUCAGUUGUUCCAAUUAUAAUAUUUCCUCCAUCCUUCUACCUUUUUGUAUUUAUUUGAACGAUUCCUCAUUAUAUAUAUCGGUUCCACUCUUUUCCGUUAAUCCGUAAUAUUUUUAUUUUAGUCUCAUGUUUAUAGCACGAUCUAAGAUCACUCCUAGGAAUUCUGAUAGGUGACUGUGGUAAAUAAUGUAGUGAGCUCCGUUGUACCAGCAGGUUUCACACAGUUAGUAUUCCAUUCAUUAUGUUUUAACUUAUUCAUUAUAAACAAGCCGUUGUGGCUCAGUGUUUUCUGCCAUAUGAAAUCAUGACAGCUGUCUUCUGUGAAACGUACUCAAAGUACAAUCAUGCACUUAUGAAUAUUAUAUGAAAGUGUGAAAUACACCUAUUUACCAUUUUUAGGGUGAGCUUCAAAAUAUAAGGAGAUGAAUAUCUACAUACCGGAAAUAUGUAUAUGUACUGUAUAAAAGCCUACCUAAAUAUUUGGGUUUAAAACCCAUCCAGACUGUUUUUAAUCUCUGUUGUGAUAUUAUGUUCAAUGAGAUUUAUACUACAUGUAAUUUCAUUAAAAUGAAUGCAUGUCUAUUUUAAACCGUUUUAUUUUCUCUGGCAACGAGAUGUUAAACUUUGUUUUUGUAUAUAAUGCAUGGAAUAGUUAAUGCAUUUUAUUAAAUGCUGUACCAAGAUGGCGUAUAAAUGUUGUGGCGUAGAAAUACAUAUUUAUCUGCCAGAGACUAAAAGUAAGCAAGUAAUCUUUUUUUUUUUCUUU
Molecule: long non-coding RNA, 1698 nt
Organism: Ictalurus punctatus (channel catfish)
Lineage: Eukaryota; Metazoa; Chordata; Actinopteri; Siluriformes; Ictaluridae
Source: Ensembl